AUUUACGUGAGGUCAUGACUAGUCAAGAUUAUGUUGGUUUUCGAUUGUCUUAAUGGAACGAAUUAUGGAUGCUAGAACCCUAAAACUUUAAAAGAUACCCUAAGCACGUAGGAUUAGACUUUGUCUUAUGACAAUUUCUUCACAAACUUAUCGACUCUUCAUCAAUGAAGGUCCGGGCGACAGAAAGUGAAGCCGAAGAAGAAGCGACUCCACGCCAGCUUUAAGAACGUUUAAGGUGGCAUUACUUUACUACGUAUAUAGAGAUCCCUGCGUGUCGUAGCCUCUUAUACGAAUAUAUGCAUGAGAUGAUUUUAACUGUUAAUUUACAGUUUAUUAUUAUGCCCAAAUGAUAAAUGAAAUGUUUAUGAAAAUGAAAUGUUUAUGAAAUGAAAUGAAAUGUUUAUGAAAUGAUUGACUGCCAAAAAUGUUUAUGUUUUUAUAUGUAUCCUAUCUGUGUUGGUUCGCCAACUUUAAAGGAAAUCCAAUUGGGAUCCUAUGCUAGACAAAGGUCGCUAGCUAGGGUUAACGUGUACACUCAUGGAGACCGCGAGUCGCUUGCGACCGGUCUUGGCGUCCGUGGUAAGGAGGCCUCCUUCCCGGCGCGUGACUGAAAGGACAGAUAUGGAUCAUAUAGACUGAAAAUGGGAUGGCCAUCCAACUUUAUGAAAAUGACAGAAAUGUUUUAGUAAGCGCAGGUCAUUUAAGAAAACUCCUGUGUGUUACUGUUAUGGCAGUUCAAUUUAUAUAUGUAUGCAUGAUGUUUUUCGGCUUAUGCCACUGAGUAUUUUUAUACUCAGCCCUGCAUAUAUUUCUAAAUGUGCAGGUUGAGCAGGCGAUGGAAUGGUUUGGUGUUGAGCGGGAAUUUUUUUGAUGGAUACGUAAUGAAACCUUGAGUAUGCAUCUCCAUAUGCAUAACUCACACGUUUUUCCGCUGCAAACACUCUGAAUUUGUUAUCGUAUUAUGGAACUUACUCUUUCACUUUGUUUAACUUUCCCUUGGGCCUGGUCGUUAUGGCAUAAUCGUUUGUAAAAUAUCCAAGCAGUUGUUUAUAUAUCACUAGUUGUUGUUAUUAAUGUUGGUUACUUAGCAAAUCCCCUUUAAUUUCCUUUUCUUAUUGUUCACCCAAGUCAUUACCCCGAUUAACCCGUCACUAGGAUAGUGGGCUGUGACAAGAAUUCAUCAAGAGCUUUUGGCUCCAGCACUACCAAUCUUAGAUUGUAAAGUGCUUGUCGAUAAUUUUUGCGCUUCUCUUCUCUUGAUGCUUCAAAGAAACUCAUUCCAAGAAAAUGGAUUUUAAUUUGGUGGGAGGCAUUUUCAAAGAUUUCCAGAGUUGAUUCUUUGGUGAACAACUCAUUCUUAGCCUCCUUGAUGCCUUAUCCCAAAAUUUUUUGCAUUCCAGCAAAACUUGCCUCGAAGAUUUUGAUAAAUUCAUUUCUAUCAUAUUCUAUCGUGGCAAUCACGACCUUCAUAGCUGAAGCCCAGUCAUCGAUGAGAACUUCCCAUUUUAAAGCUGGCUUCAUCGAGGUUGAGAAUCAAUCCGUAGGGUGGAUUGGUUCAAGUGUGGCUUCCUACAGGGUGUCCUGCAUCUUGGGCCGCGUCUUCUGGUUCGUUGAUAAUGGCUCGAUUCUUCACGAGCCCCACCUCUCCUGGAGAUUCUUCUUGUGGGUGCUCUGUUUGGGCACUCACCUCUGGUUCAUCUUUAGAUCACCAUUUAGGUUAGCAAAUGAUUCUGCUAACUCUUGUAGAUCUCUAAUCCAUUGAUCAGGGUUAUCAUGGUUUUUCCCUUUCACGAUUCAUUAUGUCCUCCGGCUGCAGUUCUUGGGGCUGCAUUAAGUGGAGCGAUGUUGGGUCUUUGGACCAUGUAUUCCAAUUUUUUGACAUGGUUUUCCCUUUCAUAUCCUCCACUUUCCUGAAUAUCACGCAAGAGUUUUAGAUUUCCUCUUGUUUGAGUGAUAUUUGGCUCAUCUCCAUCGGUAGAUCAUAUAGCUUCUUUCCAUAAUAUUCCACCGUUCUUGAAUCUCCCGCAAGUUGACAUUGUCGGAAGAGUUUGGCUCGAAUCUUUUGAUAAGCUGGAUAGGUGUUCCAGCUUUGUCAUUAUGCUCCAUUAGUCGUGUGACUGAUGGGCUCGAUCUUUUGUUCGUUCAAUCACCGUUCUGGUCUCGGUGAUUCCUAUAAGGCGUUCAUGGUAGAACUGAAUACUCGUGAUGAUAUCACGAAUAAUUUCUCUAUCUUCUCCUCGACGGAUGUUCAUUACGAGGGCUCGAUUAUUCCAGUUGAGGUCGUCUAAUAGACGAGUAGUUUCUCUCUCCAAAAAUUUGAAGAGAAUUCAUGUAUACAAUACAUCUCGAACACUCGUUCGGAUCCAUAAUUUUUAAUGGAGUCUCCUCCCACAUAGAUUAAUUAUAAAAUAAAUUAAAUAUAUUAUAAUUCCUCAAUAAACUCGGCCGCUAUGAUACCAUUUUAGGCACGGAUCUAUAAUUAAAAGAAAACAUCAUAAGGAAAUAUAAUUCUUUGGUUUAGAAUAUCCCAAAUUAUAAUAUAAGUGGGUAUUUGUGUAAUUAGUUUCAAAAAGGAGUAGUUUUUUGAAUUUUUAAGAAUUGAGCCGUGUUAAAUUUGGACAACAAUGAAAGUUGGUGUAUUAAAUUGGAAAAUCCUAAGUUUGCGUUAAAUUUGAAUUUUGAUCAAAGUUGGUGUUUUUUCAUGCAAUUAUCCCUAUUUUUAAUGAUCAUAAUUGCUGACUAACACUGUCUAUAUAGGAAUCAAAAGUGGGAUACCCUAUACGGUGAAACGACUGCAACAAAAGUUCUCUGCUACUUUGGAUUUUGAGGUGAGUCGGGUGACCGUGAUAGGGAAAGCCGGUUGUAACGAGUAUGUGACUCAUCCAAAGCUAAAUGUGGUCAAGGAGGUCAUCAUUUGGUUCUCUGCUGCAAUGGAGCUCAUGAACUCUACCAAUCCAUACUCGGGCACUAUCAAGUCCGUUGAUGACAUCGUGAUGUUCGUGUAGUGCAGGUACCCUUAGCAAUGAUUUAAGCUAAUUAGCACAAUUUGUUAACAACUUCCCACCGCCCUCAGGGCCGGUCCUGAGAAAAAUGAGGCCCUAGGCAAAAUUAUAAAAAUGGGCCCUCAAUAUAUUAG
Molecule: long non-coding RNA, 3136 nt
Filed under: Salvia miltiorrhiza (redroot sage)
Lineage: Eukaryota; Viridiplantae; Streptophyta; Magnoliopsida; Lamiales; Lamiaceae
Description: long non-coding RNA (SMIL_LNC007441)
Source: RNAcentral